Non-coding RNA from Triticum aestivum (bread wheat), 125 nucleotides. NCBI's taxonomy places the organism in Eukaryota, Viridiplantae, Streptophyta, Magnoliopsida, Poales, Poaceae. The record is from Rfam.
GUUAUACUCCUUCUGUCUGGAAUUACUUGUCAUAGAAAUGGAUGAAUCUAGACGUAUUUUAGUUCUAGAUACAUCUAUUUUUAUCCAUUUCUACAACAAAUAAUUCGGGGCGGAGGGAGUAUUUU